RNAcentral lists this ribosomal RNA (253 nucleotides) under uncultured bacterium. RNAcentral's name for it is "partial 16S ribosomal RNA". It matches the Rfam family "Bacterial small subunit ribosomal RNA", at positions 524 to 776 of the family's 1533-position model. The record is from RNAcentral.
UAUGUAGGGGGCAAGCGUUGUCCGGAUUUAUUGGGCGUAAAGAGCGUGUAGGCGGCCAGGUAGGUCUGCUGUGAAAACUCGAGGCUUAACCUCGAGCUGUCGGCGGAAACCAUCUGGCUAGCGUCCGGAAGAGGAGAAUGGAAUUCCCGGUGUAGCGGUGAAAUGCGCAGAUAUCAGGAGGAACACCAAUUGCGAAGGCAGCUCGCUGGGACGUAACUGACGCUGAGACGCGAAAGCGUGGGGAGCAAACAGG